AACACCCUGCAAAUCACCCAUUCAUUCUUGGCUGUUUUGGGGAGGUUGUGGACAGAGAAUUUACCCUCCAAUCUGUAUUCAUGAAUGACCCAGUUAGUCUUCUCCCCUUUAGGGGCUCUACCCUUAUAAAAAACAAGGGUCUUUUUCAUUCCAAUCAGGGAUUUUCCCCUGUAGAUCUCCUUAUCUUUCCCUGUGGCUUUCCAGUAACCAGCUUCAGUUGCCCUGUUUGUCCUGAGACCAGUUGGAUACUUUCUAUCCCUCACACAGAAAAAGUACCAUUCUUUCUCUCCCAUUUUCGCUUUCCAUGGCAAUUCCCAGGGUUCAGAUUUGUUCAAAUCCACAUCUCCAAUAGCUUUAGAAGAGAAGUUGAUGUCAAGAACCUUUUUGUACAGGUAUUGAGAAAUAAGCUCUUCAUCAGUCGGGUGGAAGCGGAAUCCAGGGGGCAAAUCCAUUUGAUCAUCUUCCGUAACAAGUCCAGAUAUGUUUUCCAUUGCUUGAGAAGCUAAAACCCUAUUGCUUUCUCUUGUUUACUAAUGUAAAAUCUUUAUAUUUUCACAAUUUGGGUUUUGGAUAAACAAGCAAAGGAAUAGAAUCCCAAAUCCAAGCUCAACUCUUAAGACGAAGACCGUUGUGCGACCUCUAUAUAUGCAAAUGGAUAUUGACCGAACAGCUCUAUUUCUCCAUGUUCAAGGAACCUUGUAAAGAAAAAAAAAGUGUCAUGAGC
This 724-nucleotide unclassified non-coding RNA is filed under the name Hevea brasiliensis (rubber tree). Lineage: Eukaryota; Viridiplantae; Streptophyta; Magnoliopsida; Malpighiales; Euphorbiaceae. The record is from RNAcentral.